RNAcentral lists this ribosomal RNA (491 nucleotides) under uncultured bacterium. RNAcentral's name for it is "partial 16S ribosomal RNA". It matches the Rfam family "Bacterial small subunit ribosomal RNA", at positions 29 to 507 of the family's 1533-position model. The record is from RNAcentral.
AGUGAACGCUGGCGGUAGGCCUAACACAUGCAAGUCGAACGGCAGCACAGUAAGAGCUUGCUCUUACGGGUGGCGAGUGGCGGACGGGUGAGGAAUACAUCGGAAUCUACUUUUUCGUGGGGGAUAACGUAGGGAAACUUACGCUAAUACCGCAUACGACCUACGGGUGAAAGCAGGGGAUCUUCGGACCUUGCGCGAUUGAAUGAGCCGAUGUCGGAUUAGCUAGUUGGCGGGGUAAAGGCCCACCAAGGCGACGAUCCGUAGCUGGUCUGAGAGGAUGAUCAGCCACACUUGAACUGAGACACGGUCCAGACGCCUACGGGAGGCAGCAGUGGGGAAUAUUGGACAAUGGGCGCAAGCCUGAUCCAGCCAUACCGCGUGGUGAAGAAGGCCUUCGGGUUGUAAAGCCCUUUUGUUGGGAAAGAAAAGCAGCAGGUUAAUACCCCGCUGUUCUGACGUUACCCAAAGAAUAAGCACCGGCUAACUUCGUG